RNAcentral lists this ribosomal RNA (677 nucleotides) under uncultured bacterium. RNAcentral describes it as "bacterial SSU rRNA". It matches the Rfam family "Bacterial small subunit ribosomal RNA", at positions 44 to 769 of the family's 1533-position model. The record is from RNAcentral.
AGGCCUAACACAUGCAAGUCGAGCGCGCCCUUCGGGGUGAGCGGCGGACGGGUUGGUAACGCGUGGGAAUAUACCCUUUGGUACGGAAUAGCCUCUGGAAACGGAGAGUAAUACCGUAUGAGCCCUUCGGGGGAAAGAUUUAUCGCCAAAGGAUUAGCCCGCGUUAGAUUAGGUAGUUGGUGGGGUAAUGGCCUACCAAGCCUACGAUCUAUAGCUGGUUUUAGAGGAUGAUCAGCAACACUGGGACUGAGACACGGCCCAGACUCCUACGGGAGGCAGCAGUGGGGAAUCUUGGACAAUGGGGGCAACCCUGAUCCAGCCAUGCCGCGUGAGUGAUGAAGGCCUUAGGGUCGUAAAGCUCUUUCGCCUGUGAAGAUAAUGACGGUAGCAGGUAAAGAAACCCCGGCUAACUCCGUGCCAGCAGCCGCGGUAAUACGGAGGGGGUUAGCGUUGUUCGGAAUUACUGGGCGUAAAAGCGCACGUAGGCGGAUCGGAAAGUUGGGGGUGAAAUCCCGGGGCUCAACCCCGGAACUGCCUCCAAAACUAUCGGUCUAGAGUUCGAGAGAGGUGAGUGGAAUUCCGAGUGUAGAGGUGAAAUUCGUAGAUAUUUGAGGAACACCUGUGGCGAAGGCGCUCACUGUCUCGAUACUGAAGCUAGGUGCGAAGUGAGGGGACGC